CGUGACAGUCCUCCCUGCACUCACUGUGCUAGCAAAGAUGUCCGGGAAGGACAGAAAAGAAUGUAAUGUGCAAUUAAAACAAGGGAGAGUGAUUAAUGUAGGCAAAAAUUAAUCACAAGGGCAGUGUCAAAGUUUGGUGGGACAACUGCGUGUUCAGAAGACACCUGAAAAAAGUGAAAUGAAGAACCAAGGAUCAUCUGAGCAAAGACUCAAGGACCAUUUGAACAAAGACAUCCACAUCUAUACCACAGAUGACUUGGCAUCUAUGGAGGAGUGGAGGACAAGGCUGUUCUCUGAAGUUCCCUUACCCACCUAGAAACCAGAUCCCCAAAGAGGAACACUACGGCCUGCAAUUGCACCCUGCCAUCCACCAGCUCAAGACUGAGGAAUGCAACCAUACCCAGACAGACUUUUUCACAAGACAAUUUCUGCCUCUGGAGCGUGUUCAAAUUCUAAAGAGCAUCAUUUACAAGUAAAUUGCUGUCUCAGGGAAAUAUUCAUUUUCCCUGAAAAUCAUUUACUCCUACACCCCCAAUACCUUCUCACCAAUAAAUAAAGCAUUUAAGGAUCAACCAUCUGGCCAUUUUCUUGAGUUUUCAUAUUUUGUAUGACUCCCAUGCACACAUAUAAUAAAUUUGUUAGGUUUUUCUCUUAUUAAUCUAUCUUUUGUUUUAGGAGUGUUGGCAUGACCUUUUAUGAUCA
This 702-nucleotide long non-coding RNA is filed under the name Homo sapiens (human). RNAcentral describes it as "HSALNT0383722". The record is from RNAcentral. Lineage: Eukaryota; Metazoa; Chordata; Mammalia; Primates; Hominidae.